This 433-nucleotide ribosomal RNA is filed under the name uncultured bacterium. Its description in RNAcentral is "partial 16S ribosomal RNA". It matches the Rfam family "Bacterial small subunit ribosomal RNA", at positions 29 to 507 of the family's 1533-position model. The record is from RNAcentral.
AACGAACGCUGGCGGCAUGCCUAACACAUGCAAGUCGAACGGAAACUCCCUGCCUUGUUGGGCUGCUCUAGUUACCACCUGGGGAGUUGCCCUUAAGUUCCGUAUCCCUGCCCUUGAGGUAUGCUCAUGCAACAUGAUGUCAUCCCGCCAAAGAUUUAUCGCCUUUUGGUGGGGCCUCGUUGGAUUAGCCAGUUGGUAGGGGAAAAGCCUACCAAGGCGACGAUCCAUAGCUGGUUGGAGAGGAUGAGCAGCCACACUGGGACUGAGACACGGCCCAGACUCCUACGGGAGGCAGCAGUGGGGAAUAUUGGACAAUGGGCGAAAGACUGAUCCAGCAAUGCCGCGUGAGUGAUGAAGGCCUUAGGGGUGUAAAGCUCUUUUACCCGGGAUGAUAAUGACAGUACCGGGAGAAUAAGCUCCGGCCAACUCCGUG